UCGUAGGUGUUAUGAUCAAUGUAUUGAAAUUGGUUUGCCUGCUUUAUGGAUUUGUUUGUUUUUCUUAACUUAGUUCAGCUUGGUGUUUGAUUUUGGGGAUGAAAUUAUAUCUACAUUUAGCAGUGAGCUUGGAAGGAUCUUUCUCUGAGAACAACUAAAAGGAUUUAUGAUCUAAUGGGAUGUCAUAACUAUAUAUCCUUGUGUGUUUUUGUUGUAUAAUUUUGUUUCUGGUUCCUCUUUAUGUUUUUCGUAGGUGUUAUGAUCAAUGUAUUGAAAUUGGUUUGCCUGCUUUAUGGAUUUGUUUGUUUUUCUUAACUUAGUUCAGCUUGGUGUUUGAUUUUGGGGAUGAAAUUAUAUCUACAUUUAGCAGUGAGCUUGGAAGGAUCUUUCUCUGAGAACAACUAAAAGGAUUUAUGAUCUAAUGGGAUGUCAUAACUAUAUAUCCUUGUGUGUUUUUGUUGUAUAAUUUUGUUUCUGGUUCCUCUUUAUGUUUUUCGUACCUAUGGAUUUGGUUAGAGAGUUUAUAAACUGAGCUUAUUAAUUUGGGGAUUCGGUGGUUACAUACCCAAAAAAGUAGUCUGAAAAAUGAGCCGCAUAUUAUGCUUGGUAUCAUUUAUGGCGUUUUUUUCCCCAUGCCUCACAUAUACCUGUGCUGUAUAAAUUCAUUCAUAACAGUUGUAUACAAUGAUAGUUUUGUUUCA
RNAcentral lists this unclassified non-coding RNA (701 nucleotides) under Hevea brasiliensis (rubber tree). Lineage: Eukaryota; Viridiplantae; Streptophyta; Magnoliopsida; Malpighiales; Euphorbiaceae. The record is from RNAcentral.